This is a long non-coding RNA of Vigna radiata var. radiata (mung bean), 446 nucleotides long. RefSeq lists it as uncharacterized. The transcript has 2 exons. The record is from RefSeq and is a predicted model, not a curated record. NCBI's taxonomy places the organism in Eukaryota, Viridiplantae, Streptophyta, Magnoliopsida, Fabales, Fabaceae.
UAAAAAGAACCAGUUUAAUUUUGGUGUUGGACUUUCUGAAAAGCAUAAGCUAUCCUCUCAAGAAUGUUUCUCUCUCUAGACCUCACACUCUCCAUUUUUCCUCUGCCUUCUCUCUACCUUUUCUUUCAACUGAACCGUUAGAAUUUCAAUCCGUAGGCGCCUAAACGAUCCUGACGCGAGAGCUUCAAUUGGCACCGAUCAAUUUCAGGAUUCAUUGUUAUGUCGUUGAGGAGGUUCCAAUGGAGGAAGUGUUGGAGGACGCUGAUGUUGCGACUUAGUCCUCCCUAGGUUUUCUUCCUUUUACCUGAUGUCAUUUUGGAAUACUCUUAUCUUUGUAUCAUUUUGCUUAACUCUUUAUGUCUAAGUUUUAGGUUUAGACCUCUUUUACUUGAAAUUCAAACUCUUGAGUUAUAUUUGGAUGACUAUAAUCUUAUAUUUAACUGUCA